UGGGGAAUAUUGCACAAUGGGCGCAAGCCUGAUGCAGCCAUGCCGCGUGUAUGAAGAAGGCCUUCGGGUUGUAAAGUACUUUCAGUCGGGAGGAAGGUGGUAAGGUUAAUAACCUUAUCAAUUGACGUUACCGACAGAAGAAGCACCGGCUAACUCCGUGCCAGCAGCCGCGGUAAUACGGAGGGUGCAAGCGUUAAUCGGAAUUACUGGGCGUAAAGCGCACGCAGGCGGUUGAUUGAGUCAGAUGUGAAAUCCCCGGGCUCAACCUGGGAACUGCAUCUGAUACUGGCAAGCUUGAGUCUCGUAGAGGGGGGUAGAAUUCCAGGUGUAGCGGUGAAAUGCGUAGAGAUCUGGAGGAAUACCGGUGGCGAAGGCGGCCCCCUGGACAAAGACUGACGCUCAGGUGCGAAAGCGUGGGGAGCAAACAGG
RNAcentral lists this ribosomal RNA (429 nucleotides) under Chloroflexota bacterium. Its description in RNAcentral is "Chloroflexi bacterium partial 16S ribosomal RNA". It matches the Rfam family "Bacterial small subunit ribosomal RNA", at positions 355 to 776 of the family's 1533-position model. The record is from RNAcentral. Lineage: Bacteria; Bacillati; Chloroflexota.